GACGAACGCUGGCGGCGUGCCUAAUACAUGCAAGUAGAACGCUGAAGGAGGAGCUUGCUCUUCUGGAUGAGUUGCGAACGGGUGAGUAACGCGUAGGUAACCUGCCUGGUAGCGGGGGAUAACUAUUGGAAACGAUAGCUAAUACCGCAUAAUAUUGAUUAUUGCAUGAUAGUCAAUUAAAAGGUGCAAUUGCAUCACUACCAGAUGGACCUGCGUUGUAUUAGCUAGUUGGUGAGGUAACGGCUCACCAAGGCAACGAUACAUAGCCGACCUGAGAGGGUGAUCGGCCACACUGGGACUGAGACACGGCCCAGACUCCUACGGGAGGCAGCAGUAGGGAAUCUUCGGCAAUGGACGGAAGUCUGACCGAGCAACGCCGCGUGAGUGAAGAAGGUUUUCGGAUCGUAAAGCUCUGUUGUAAGAGAAGAACGAGUGUGAGAGUGGAAAGUUCACACUGUGACGGUAUCUUACCAGAAAGGGACGGCUAACUACGUGCCAGCAGCCGCGGUAAUACGUAGGUCCCGAGCGUUGUCCGGAUUUAUUGGGCGUAAAGCGAGCGCAGGCGGUUAGAUAAGUCUGAAGUUAAAGGCUGUGGCUUAACCAUAGUACGCUUUGGAAACUGUUUAACUUGAGUGCAAGAGGGGAGAGUGGAAUUCCAUGUGUAGCGGUGAAAUGCGUAGAUAUAUGGAGGAACACCGGUGGCGAAAGCGGCUCUCUGUCUUGUAACUGACGCUGAGGCUCGAAAGCGUGGGGAGCAAACAGG
RNAcentral lists this ribosomal RNA (763 nucleotides) under uncultured Streptococcus sp. RNAcentral describes it as "bacterial SSU rRNA". It matches the Rfam family "Bacterial small subunit ribosomal RNA", at positions 28 to 776 of the family's 1533-position model. Lineage: Bacteria; Bacillati; Bacillota; Bacilli; Lactobacillales; Streptococcaceae. The record is from RNAcentral.